Fukomys damarensis (Damara mole-rat) is the source of this 1902-nucleotide long non-coding RNA. The record is from Ensembl. NCBI's taxonomy places the organism in Eukaryota, Metazoa, Chordata, Mammalia, Rodentia, Bathyergidae.
AUGAAUCGGCGUUGGAGGCCUGACACCGAGACACGGUUCCUAGACUUGCCGGAAGUGCGACAGGUGCGUCGGAGGCGAGGACCCUCUGGCCCGCAACUUUCUCUGCCGGCGCUCUUCCCGCAUCCCUGGCGACGCCAGAGCAUCCUGCAGCAGCUUUCCGAGCUGCCAGUACCUAGUGAGAUGAUGAAUGGAGUAAAAUUUCAGAUGGUGCUGGUGAGGAUUAAAGGUGACCUUGAAAAUCUGAAAGCGUGUUGGAAAUUUGUGCGUGUGUCGACAGCUACCCAGAAAGCGGCUGGGCAGUGUGGAGAGCUCACAGGACUUGAAAUCCACCUAACCUUUGCUUUCUGUAGGUUUAGUGAAAAUAAUACCAUCCUUAAAUAGUUGUUUUGUAGAUUAAUUUUUUAAAGCUCAAUAAAAGAUUUCAAUAACUCCUGGUUUGUUCCUUUAGUUGAGAACGGGCACAUUAUUCCAAUUUUUCAUUUUCUAAUUUGAUUUUUAUGCAGUGAGUUCAGACUUAAAGAAAGAUUUUCUGAGUCCUCUGUGUGAUAUGUAAUUCGUGGGCUGCUUUCUCCAUGAGCUCUGUUAGGUAAGGGGAUUAUUUUUUCUCUUUUGGCAGCACUAGGGAUUGAAUCCAGGACCUUAAACAUGCUAGAUGAGCUCCAUAGUGCAGAAGUAUAGCCUCAGCUCCUCACCAACUCUGUAAGAUGGUAUUGCUGUUUCUUUUCAUAUAGAAGCUAAGAUCAAAAGAACAUAAGAAAUCAAUACAAAGUCACACAGUUAGUGUUAGAACCAGAGUCAAACCCAGGUCAAAGUAACUUGGAAGUUUCUGCUCUUUGUACAGUAUAGACUUCUGUUUUAUUAUUAUAUCCAUUUUUUGCUCACCCAGCAGCUACUUUCAAGGAAAAGCUUUCCAGUCUACGAUAAUUACUGAUAAUAAAUUUCCAUCAUCACUUAUUGCCAUUUUUCUCUAGGCAAUUAUGUUCACUGCUCAGAAGCAUCCAAAGGUGUGUUUUGAAGGGUGAUUUAAUAGCUGCUCAAGGUCAGGAUGAAUAUACAGGUUUUAUCUCUGGAUUUUCAAGCCCUGAGGUAUUGGAAGAGCUUGUGAUGAUGAAAGUGGAGGCAGAAUGCCAGCUCCAAAAGCAGGAAUCCAGGCUGAAAUGUAGUAAUCCCCUAGCAAGGGAAAUCUUCUGAAGGCACUUUGAGCAGCUUGCUACCAGGAAACCCCAGGACCAAGGGAGGCGCUUAUUCGACUUAGGAACUUUGCCACCAGUAGCUGAAGCCACAUGUGAGCACAAAGGAGCAGAUCCUGGAGCUUCUGAUACUGAAGUAAUUCCUGUCCAUUCUGCCUGAGGAGCUGCAGGGCUGGGUAAGGGAACACUGUCCAGAGAGUGCGGGAAGAGGCUAUGAGUUUGCUGGAAGAGCUGGAGAGAGAACUUGAUGAACCACAACAUGAGGUAGGAAGGGAGGUUUGCUAGGGAAGAAUAUGUAUGUGGGACAACAAGGACCUUUGUGUCCUCUCCAUUAUAUCCCCUAGACUUUGGUAAUAAGACCCAUCUUCCUGUGCCCUUCUUUCUGGGAAGUGCUUAAAACAGUAAAUUUCUUCAGAAAUCAAAUCUUGUUUCUUUGUCCUCAGAUCAUAACUCACAAACACAGAUAAGUCCUCUCUAGAGAGAGACUGCCUGCAGAAUAGCAGUCAUCACUGAGCCUUCAUUGCCAGCCUGUGGAGCCCCAACUCCCUGCCCAGGUCUCCCAUCCUACUGGAGAGACAGGUGAGGGACAGGAUUUAUCUGAUGUUGACAUUUCUUUCCUGGCCAAGCAAAACUAAACAACCUAGAGUUGGGCAAGGGCUGGAUUGAAAGCUUCCUUACUAGGUAGCAGUAGUGCUACCCAUCUUUAUCCUCC